GGUGGAGGCGGAAGUGACUGAUCAAUUCAGGGGCGUGGGGUUCGUUUAGGUUUUGCCCUGUGUAUGACCUCGUUUGGAGCCAUGAAACCAGGGCACUGAAGAUAUUAUUUAUAUUCAGAGGCUAUGUUGGUUUGGAGAAGGAAAGGUGGCUUUUCUACAAUAUAAAGAUGGAAAUGGGAUGAUGUUCAUUGCAAAUUAGGGAAGCUCUUCCACGAGUUCACGAAUGGAAAUAACAUCAAGAGUUUUUCAUCUUCUUAGUGUGCAAGAUAAAUAUCAAGCAGUGCAAUUCCUGGAUUUAUGAUGUCUGAGGAAUAGUCUUAGUGGAUUAUCCCAAACUUGACACAUUUUUUGCAAAAUGCUAUACAAAAAGAAGAUACAUGCGAUUAUGACAAGAUUCUCCACUUGGUGUGACCAGUCUCAUACAACCCAAGGCUGUGUGUCCAAAGGCAACUGCACUUCUGGGACUGGAAACAAUUUGGGAACAUUUUUCAUUGCAUAUUUGGCUCAGAUCUGCCACUUAGUUGAAGUAUAAUCUUCAGCAAGUGACUCAAAAUUUCUGAAUCUCGUUUUCACCAUCAAUACAUGACAAUAAUAUUUUCUCCUUUAAGUAUUUGAAAGUUUUGAGAAAGCCACAAUAGCAACACUUGCAAAAGUGCUCCAUUGUAAAAUGCAAGGGAGAGGUAGUUGUGACCCUUUGGGGAAAACUAUAGUUGCCACAAUUGUCUCUGAAGUGAAGCAUGUUUCUUAGACUGAAGGAAAGCCCUGGGAGAGAUUGGUCUAGCUUUAGGAUGACUGUGGGUAGAGCUUCUAGGGAGAAGAAUGAAACGUAUUCCUCUUCCUUCUUUCUAGGAAUACUGGAAAGCAUUUAUUUGUUUGCUAAAUUGCUCUCUUUCCACCAGCGAUAUCAACUCUGAAAUACUUUUUAGAUCUUGACAAUAAUCAAAAGGUAGCCAGGUGCAUCGGGGAAAGCACUGACAUUGGAGUCAG
RNAcentral lists this long non-coding RNA (987 nucleotides) under Pan troglodytes (chimpanzee). Its description in RNAcentral is "lincRNA". The record is from RNAcentral. Lineage: Eukaryota; Metazoa; Chordata; Mammalia; Primates; Hominidae.